RNAcentral lists this long non-coding RNA (503 nucleotides) under Triticum aestivum (bread wheat). RNAcentral's name for it is "long non-coding RNA (TAES_LNC018687)". The record is from RNAcentral. Lineage: Eukaryota; Viridiplantae; Streptophyta; Magnoliopsida; Poales; Poaceae.
AUCCAAUAUCAGGUGGGUUGAGGUGGUCAGCAGAUAAUAGGUACGUGCUGCCGUCGUUUGGUCCCUCUCCUCUCCUUGCUUCUGCCUCUUCCUAUAUUCAUGUUUUGUGUUCUUGCCUUGCCAGAAGCCGUUCAUCUCCAUUGCCCAGCGGGGGCCUCUUCGGGACUAAUCUAGCAUCAGGCGUUAUAGGAGGAGAGACGGCUCUCAUGGAUUAGGAUGUUGCACAUCAUUGACGGGUCAUUCCAUGGAUUAGGAUGUUGCACAUCAUCGACGGGUCAUUCCGCGCGCUGCUCUUGUUGAUUUGUUCUUGACAUAUCCUCUGUGGUGUUGUACCUUUUGAAUCAGUUGGUGGUUUAUAUUAGCAAGUACUAUCAUUCGGUCACUUUUGAACCACCGAUAUUGUAUGCGAUCAGUCCUCUAAACUAUAAAACUAUUGCUUUUGUGUUCAUACAAGCCUCUUAGUAUAUAUGAUGUCACUAUUAUUCUUUUAAGGCGGAUCCAUU